RNAcentral lists this ribosomal RNA (337 nucleotides) under uncultured archaeon. Its description in RNAcentral is "partial 16S ribosomal RNA". It matches the Rfam family "Archaeal small subunit ribosomal RNA", at positions 133 to 475 of the family's 1478-position model. The record is from RNAcentral.
CGGGAAACUGGGGAUAAUACCCUAUAGGAUAUUGAUGCUGGAAUGCGCGAUAUCUGAAAGUUGAGGCGCCGCAGGAUGGGUCUGCGGCCGAUUAGGUAGUUGUUGGGGUAACGGCCCAACAAGCCUGUAAUCGGUACGGGUUGUGGGAGCAAGAGCCCGGAGAUGGAUUCUGAGACAUGAAUCCAGGCCCUACGGGGCGCAGCAGGCGCGAAAACUUUACAAUGCGGGAAACCGUGAUAAGGGAACCCCGAGUGCCCGUAGAAUCGGGCUGUUGAUCUGUGUAAAAAGCAGGUAAAGAAAGGGCCGGGCAAGACCGGUGCCAGCCGCCGCGGUAACA